RNAcentral lists this small nucleolar RNA (138 nucleotides) under Ornithorhynchus anatinus (platypus). The record is from RNAcentral. Lineage: Eukaryota; Metazoa; Chordata; Mammalia; Monotremata; Ornithorhynchidae.
CCCUUCUCAGGGUCGCCCCUGGAGAGUUUCCAGUCCUCUACCAGUCUCGGCUACAGGAGGGAGAGUCAGGCAGAGGCCUUCCCAUUCUAUUCCUAGCUUGGCCAGUAGCUAGCCAGUGGAAGGCAAUCUGCUACAAGU